UUAACACAUGCAAGUCGAACGGUAACAGGAAGCAGCUUGCUGCUUCGCUGACGAGUGGCGGACGGGUGAGUAAUGUCUGGGAAACUGCCUGAUGGAGGGGGGAUAACUACUGGAAACGGUAGCUAAUACCGCAUAACGUCGCAAGACCAAAGAGGGGGACCUUCGGGCCUCUUGCCAUCGGAUGUGCCCAGAUGGGAUUAGCUAGUAGGUGGGGUAACGGCUCACCUAGGCGACGAUCCCUAGCUGGUCUGAGAGGAUGACCAGCCACACUGGAACUGAGACACGGUCCAGACUCCUACGGGAGGCAGCAGUGGGGAAUAUUGCACAAUGGGCGCAAGCCUGAUGCAGCCAUGCCGCGUGUAUGAAGAAGGCCUUCGGGUUGUAAAGUACUUUCAGCGGGGAGGAAGGCGAUAAGGUUAAUAACCUUGUCGAUUGACGUUACCCGCAGAAGAAGCACCGGCUAACUCCGUGCCAGCAGCCGCGGUAAUACGGAGGGUGCAAGCGUUAAUCGGAAUUACUGGGCGUAAAGCGCACGCAGGCGGUCUGUCAAGUCGGAUGUGAAAUCCCCGGGCUCAACCUGGGAACUGCAUUCGAAACUGGCAGGCUAGAGUCUUGUAGAGGGGGGUAGAAUUCCAGGUGUAGCGGUGAAAUGCGUAGAGAUCUGGAGGAAUACCGGUGGCGAAGGCGGCCCCCUGGACAAAGACUGACGCUCAGGUGCGAAA
RNAcentral lists this ribosomal RNA (722 nucleotides) under Enterobacter hormaechei. RNAcentral describes it as "bacterial SSU rRNA". It matches the Rfam family "Bacterial small subunit ribosomal RNA", at positions 48 to 758 of the family's 1533-position model. The record is from RNAcentral. Lineage: Bacteria; Pseudomonadati; Pseudomonadota; Gammaproteobacteria; Enterobacterales; Enterobacteriaceae.